GGCCGGUUGGCGCAGUGGUAGCGCAUAAGUCUCCAAAUAGCUUCAGGUCAAGGGUUCGAAUCCCUUACUGGUCA
This is a non-coding RNA of Heterostelium album PN500, 74 nucleotides long. The record is from the annotation of a RefSeq genome assembly. NCBI's taxonomy places the organism in Eukaryota, Evosea, Eumycetozoa, Acytosteliales, Acytosteliaceae.